UGACAUAAUAGGUCUAUGUUACGGCCAUAGAGUGGGUGGCUCAGUUCACCAUAUGUUUU
This 59-nucleotide transfer RNA is filed under the name Gangesia oligonchis. RNAcentral's name for it is "tRNA-Arg". The record is from RNAcentral. Lineage: Eukaryota; Metazoa; Platyhelminthes; Cestoda; Proteocephalidea; Proteocephalidae.